GGUGGCUCAGUUGUAGAGUGCUUGCCUUGCAUGCAUGAGACUCUGAGUUCGAUUCCUCAGCACCA
This 65-nucleotide transfer RNA is filed under the name Dipodomys ordii (Ord's kangaroo rat). It matches the Rfam family "tRNA". From Rfam's summary of the family: Transfer RNA (tRNA) molecules are approximately 80 nucleotides in length. Their secondary structure includes four short double-helical elements and three loops (D, anti-codon, and T loops). Further hydrogen bonds mediate the characteristic L-shaped molecular structure. tRNAs have two regions of fundamental functional importance: the anti-codon, which is responsible for specific mRNA codon recognition, and the 3' end, to which the tRNAs corresponding amino acid is attached (by aminoacyl-tRNA synthetases). tRNAs cope with the degeneracy of the genetic code in two manners: having more than one tRNA (with a specific anti-codon) for a particular amino acid; and 'wobble' base-pairing, i.e. permitting non-standard base-pairing at the 3rd anti-codon position. Lineage: Eukaryota; Metazoa; Chordata; Mammalia; Rodentia; Heteromyidae. The record is from Rfam by way of RNAcentral.